RNAcentral lists this transfer RNA (73 nucleotides) under Camelus bactrianus (Bactrian camel). It matches the Rfam family "tRNA". Rfam says of the family: Transfer RNA (tRNA) molecules are approximately 80 nucleotides in length. Their secondary structure includes four short double-helical elements and three loops (D, anti-codon, and T loops). The record is from Rfam by way of RNAcentral. Lineage: Eukaryota; Metazoa; Chordata; Mammalia; Artiodactyla; Camelidae. RNAcentral also lists the same sequence under 2 other names.
AAGGGUAUAGCUCAGUGGGUAGAGUACAUGCUUAGCAUGCAUGAGGUCCUGGGUUCAAUCCCCAGGACCUCCA